UACGGAGGGUGCAAGCGUUAUCCGGAUUCACUGGGUUUAAAGGGUGCGUAGGUGGGCAAGUAAGUCAGUGGUGAAAUCUCCGGGCUUAACCCGGAAACUGCCAUUGAUACUAUUUGUCUUGAAUACUGUGGAGGUCAGCGGAAUAUGGCAUGUAGCGGUGAAAUGCAUAGAUAUGCCAUAGAACACCAAUUGCGAAGGCAGCUGGCUAGACCUGGAUUGACGCUGAGGCACGAAAGCGUGGGGAGCGAACAGG
This 253-nucleotide ribosomal RNA is filed under the name uncultured bacterium. RNAcentral's name for it is "partial 16S ribosomal RNA". It matches the Rfam family "Bacterial small subunit ribosomal RNA", at positions 524 to 776 of the family's 1533-position model. The record is from RNAcentral.